CAUGUAGGCGGAUUGAUAAGUUUGAAGUGAAAUCCUAUAGCUUAACUAUAGAACUGCUUUGAAAACUGUUAAUCUAGAAUGUGGGAGAGGUAGAUGGAAUUUCUGGUGUAGGGUAAAUCCGUAGAGAUCAGAAGGAAUACCGAUUGCGAAGGCGAUCUACUGGAACAUUAUUGACGCUGAGAUGCGAAAGCGUGGGGAGCAAACA
Molecule: ribosomal RNA, 205 nt
Filed under: uncultured bacterium
Lineage: Bacteria
Description: partial 16S ribosomal RNA
Rfam family: Bacterial small subunit ribosomal RNA
Source: RNAcentral